RNAcentral lists this ribosomal RNA (253 nucleotides) under uncultured bacterium. Its description in RNAcentral is "partial 16S ribosomal RNA". It matches the Rfam family "Bacterial small subunit ribosomal RNA", at positions 524 to 776 of the family's 1533-position model. The record is from RNAcentral.
UACGGGGGGGGCAAGCGUUGUUCGGAAUUACUGGGCGUAAAGGGCUCGUAGGUGGCCAACUAAGUCAGACGUGAAAUCCCUCGGCUUAACCGGGGAACUGCGUCUGAUACUGGAUGGCUUGAGUUUGGGAGAGGGACGCGGAAUUCCAGGUGUAGCGGUGAAAUGCGUAGAUAUCUGGAGGAACACCGGUGGCGAAAGCGGCGUCCUGGACCAACACUGACACUGAGAGACGAAAGCUAGGGGAGCAAAUGGG